UUCGUCACUCGGCUCUCUUUUUACCUUUCAUCCUGCAUUUCUCAAUAAUGAAGGGGCUGAAGAAAUUCUAAUAUAAAAAAUAAAUGUUACAAAAAUGUUUUUAUCUUUUUUUUAUUUUUGCAGUGGCGUGUGGGUUUGCGGACACUCGGCUGGUGCACAUUGGCAUCCCUUUUGUUAAUUACAAACCGUUGUAGAGAAUUUACUAUUUCAAGGAGUGAUUCUGAUCUGUGGUCUUUAUUUUAGACCCUCUGUUAGACACUUCGUACAAUGAUGUCUUACGCCUAGACAGGUAGGUACCUAAUUCUUACUUAUAAUUUCACCUAAUUUCGGUGUAUUACUUGCCGGUGAGCACAUCCUCCUAAUCACUCAUAAUACUUAUACUUUCAGAGAGAAAGCACAAAUAAUCAGCCCUGUGAACCGAGGAUUAUGCGAUAACCGAGUGAAAUCUUAAUCGUAACAGCCAACAGCGAGUUCGAUUCACCUGCCUUCAAACAGCAAUCAAUGGCAUAUUUUGAGCUCAUGGUCAAAAAAUCUGAAAAUUUAACUUUAUUGGAGAUCAAGAAUGUAGAUCACUUUGACAUAAUUGAACAGAUGAGCAAUCCUAAAUUCGAACUGGUUUUAAAAAUAAUAGAAAUGGUGAGCAAUAAAGUUAGUUGAAUGUUCGGAAGAACAGAAUCUUUCAUUUGUCGAUGCUAUUUGCGUUGUCAUUCCAAGCCAAUGAAACAUUGAACACAAAGCUUAUAAAAAUUAAACGCUGUAUUUCAGUUUCAUUUACAUGAGAAAAGAUAUAUGAAAAUAGCAAUCUACAAUGGUAAAAUUAGAAUAAACUUUUCUUCAUGACAUGUUUUAAACAAUUUGUAAGAAAUUAUGAGAUCAUUUUUAGAACAGUUUAUUUUUUCUUUUGAUGGUGGAUUUGAGAAGUUGUAACUUCUCCAAAUGUAUAUUAAUUUGACUUCUAAUGAAUCUAAACAAUCCUCAGCAGAGCUUAGCAGUCUAAACUAAGCUUUUAGACUUAGAAUCUGUUCGAGCCAAUCAAAGUGCAUUCCAACAUCAGUAAAUAGCAAUUGUUUUGAGGAGACACAGCUCUUAUAGUCGAACGGAAAUUCGAUAACUCCUCUGACCCUCCAUUUAGCACCAUGGGAAUUUUCUUGACGAAUCAGCAGUUCACCACCAUACACACCAGGGCACCAAUUAAGUUCUACAAAAGAAAUAAAACACACACUUUGUUUCAGUAAACGGCUAAAUAUUUCAUAAUACUGUAAAUUGAGAAAAAUCGGCAAGUCUCUAUUUAAAUACCGCAGACUCAAUGAUGAAAUGUUUAUUUUUCCCACAAAACAGUACUCAUCAUCAUCGUCCUCAGACAUAAGGGCGGAUUAACUAUAUUUUGAGGUGAACUCUGUUAACAGUGAAGUUCCAUACUUUUUUGAUCCAUGUCAAAGUAGAGAUACGCUCUGACAUAGAGAGGCAAAGAUGUGCAUAAUUGCAUGGUCAUAAACUUCGCAUUUGUGAUUCUAAGUCUUUUGAAUUCUCUCUGGCUGUAAAGUAGGGAAAAAAUUUGUAGGUACCUGUUUUUCACUUAGAGAUAAUAAAUUUCAUUUGGUGAAGCCUACAUCUUACCCCUCUAUUUUCCAUCUGGUCUUUGAUUUACUUAGGGUUAACUUUAAGGUCGUUUAUCUGCAAAGACCAUAGUUGGCUCUAGUUUUGCAGAGAUUAAUCAAGUGCAAAGGCACCUUUAUAAGAGCACUUUUAAGUGCUAGAAAAUCAUAAUACCUAAUCGAUUAUUUGUUCUGAAAUAAUGAAAAAAAGGUAGUUUCUUCCAGUAUGUCUUCCUGAUUUUGCUCUAGAAUUGUUCAAGUUUGAUUGUAUGUCUAGGCCAUCAGCUGAUUAUGAUACAAAAUUAACAGACAUUUCUAACAUGCAGUAUCAUUACAGCUUAAGAUUUACCUGCAAGGGCAACAGUACACAAUGUAUAAGACCAGCUUUCAUCAUCAAGUCUGCACACAUGGGGAUCUUUGAUAC
This 2019-nucleotide long non-coding RNA is filed under the name Bemisia tabaci. RNAcentral describes it as "lncRNA ENSSWEETPG012921". Lineage: Eukaryota; Metazoa; Arthropoda; Insecta; Hemiptera; Aleyrodidae. The record is from RNAcentral.